Molecule: ribosomal RNA, 1163 nt
Filed under: marine metagenome
Description: bacterial LSU rRNA
Rfam family: Bacterial large subunit ribosomal RNA
Source: RNAcentral
GAAAGGGUGUGGUGGCCGCAGAGACCAGUGGGUAGCGACUGUUUACUAAAAACACAGGUCCGUGCCAAGUCGCAAGACGAUGUAUACGGACUGACGCCUGCCCGGUGCUGGAAGGUUAAGAGGACGGGUUAGCCGUAAGGCGAAGCUCAGAAUUUAAGCCCCAGUAAACGGCGGUGGUAACUAUAACCAUCCUAAGGUAGCGAAAUUCCUUGUCGGGUAAGUUCCGACCUGCACGAAUGGCGUAACGACUUCCCAACUGUCUCAACCACGAACUCGGCGAAAUUGCAUUACGAGUAAAGAUGCUCGUUACGCGCAGCAGGACGGAAAGACCCCGUGACCUUUACUACAGCUUGGUAUUGGUGUUCGGUGUGGCUUGUGUAGGAUAGGUGGGAGACUGUGAAGCAGACACGCCAGUGUUUGUGGAGUCGUUGUUGAAAUACCACUCUGGUCACUCUGGAUGUCUAACUUCGAACCGUAAUCCGGUUCAGGGACAGUGCCUGGUGGGUAGUUUAACUGGGGCGGUUGCCUCCCAAAGAGUAACGGAGGCGCCCAAAGGUUCCCUCAGCCUGGUUGGCAAUCAGGUGGCGAGUGUAAGUGCACAAGGGAGCUUGACUGUGAGACUGACAGGUCGAGCAGGGACGAAAGUCGGGACUAGUGAUCCGGCAGUGGCUUGUGGAAGCGCUGUCGCUCAACGGAUAAAAGGUACCUCGGGGAUAACAGGCUGAUCUUGCCCAAGAGUCCAUAUCGACGGCAUGGUUUGGCACCUCGAUGUCGGCUCGUCGCAUCCUGGGGCUGGAGUAGGUCCCAAGGGUUGGGCUGUUCGCCCAUUAGAGCGGUACGCGAGCUGGGUUUAGAACGUCGUGAGACAGUUCGGUCCCUAUCCGCUGCGCGCGUAGGAAGUUUGAGAGGAUCUGACCCUAGUACGAGAGGACCGGGUUGGACGAACCUCUGGUGUGUCAGUUGUUCCGCCAGGAGCACCGCUGAUUAGCUACGUUCGGGAUGGAUAACCGCUGAAAGCAUCUAAGCGGGAAGCCGGCCUCAAGAUGAGACUUCCAUACCUACGGGCGAGAGGCUCCCAGCAGACUACUGGGUUGAUAGGCCAGAUGUGGAAGCGUGGUAACACGUGCAGCUGACUGGUACUAAUAAGCCGAUGACUUGAUAAC